UCUCACCGACAUCAAACACAAUGGCUGUACAGCAUGAUGUGAGUCAUGCUACGAUAAACAAACAUGACAUAUUAAACAGGAAAAUUAGUCGCUCUUAAUACUCCUCUAUAUUAAAUCAGGAAAACGCUAAUUAGAACAACCUGCGCUUGAUCCAGACUGAUUCACCCCUGCUCUCAGGCUCUUUUUUUAUGUGUGUUUGUGUCUGUCACAUUCUUCUCCUGCUGCCGCCUUAAUAGGCACUGUCUUAGAAUAGCUCAUGCAAUAUUAAUAUCACACCAAAAUAUGGAAGCCGGAGCCCCCUCUUCCCUCUCUGACUCCCUACAUAAUUGACUAUGCAAGGCUCCAAAUCAGCUCGGAGACAGAGGAAAAGACAAGUAGAGAGACAAAGCAGCACGGAGAGAGUGAGAGACGUAAAAAAUAAAUAAAAAAAUAAAAACAAUCCUGAAACAACGCUGUCAUCUUGGUGCUCCAGCAGAUUCUGAACCUUCAACCUUCUGCGCUACAGUCAAGGCAAGAUAACUGAACAACAACAACAGCCAGAGCAGCAGCUCAAACUGUUUGAAUUCCUACAAACAAUUUGCGCUCAGGAAGAUGUAGCACCACACCAGGAAGGCGCAGGCAUCCUCUGAACUUUGUGUUACAUACUGUAACUGGACUAGUUUGAGAUGAAGAGGGACUUCCCCAGACAGACGGCGAAAGCGAGCAAUUGUCCUACGACCCGGCGGGGGCCGAGCCAAUCAGACAAUAAACACAAAGAGCCAAUCAGAGUUGCCUGAACACAGAGGCCGUUAACAAUGGAGGGAGGGAUACGCAUUGCUGCCAGACCCCUGCCAUGUGACAAUCUUUUAUGGCUUCACAAACGUUUACAUGGGACAGGGAUUAUUCUGAUGUGAUGUGCUACGUGUCGAAUUACACUGAAAAAAUAAAAGAUCUAUUAUUUA
Fundulus heteroclitus (mummichog) is the source of this 941-nucleotide long non-coding RNA. RefSeq lists it as uncharacterized. The transcript is spliced from 2 exons. The record is from RefSeq and is a predicted model, not a curated record. NCBI's taxonomy places the organism in Eukaryota, Metazoa, Chordata, Actinopteri, Cyprinodontiformes, Fundulidae.